RNAcentral lists this transfer RNA (547 nucleotides) under Bartonella coopersplainsensis. Its description in RNAcentral is "partial 16S-23S ribosomal RNA intergenic spacer". The stretch from base 41 to 114 matches the Rfam family "tRNA". The record is from RNAcentral. Lineage: Bacteria; Pseudomonadati; Pseudomonadota; Alphaproteobacteria; Hyphomicrobiales; Bartonellaceae.
AUGUGAUAAUGCCGGGGAAGGUUUUCCGGUUUAUCCCGGAGGGCUUGUAGCUCAGUUGGUUAGAGCGCGCGCUUGAUAAGCGUGAGGUCGGAGGUUCAAGUCCUCCCAGGCCCACCAAUUAUCCAUCCAUAGAAAAGCGCUUAGAAAGUUUGACUGUUAACAGGUCAACGUUGUUUUGUAGGACGCCAAUAUUGUCUUGAAAAAGAGCUUUCUUGUAAAGUUUGAGAAAACUUGUUUAUCGCUUUUUGUAAGAUGUGGUGUUUGUCUGCUUUUAAAGCGAUCGAAACUGAAAGUGUUUCAAAGAUAAGAGUCUUGGAACAGAAGAGUCUUGGAAUAGAAAAGAAUAUAAAGUCUAGGUGGUAUUACAUAGUCUAGAGUUAAAUUGUUCAUGAUUGGAACAUUUCAUAUUGAAAUGCUGCGAUAUAAAGGUUUCGAAUAAAUUAUUCCGUUUUGGGGCCGUAGCUCAGCUGGGAGAGCACCUGCUUUGCAAGCAGGGGGUCGUCGGUUCGAUCCCGUCCGGCUCCACCAUUUGGUCAUCAUCAUUGUU